Molecule: ribosomal RNA, 253 nt
Filed under: uncultured bacterium
Lineage: Bacteria
Description: partial 16S ribosomal RNA
Rfam family: Bacterial small subunit ribosomal RNA
Source: RNAcentral
UACGAAGGGGGCUAGCGUUGCUCGGAAUGACUGGGCGUAAAGGGCGCGUAGGCGGACGUGUUAGUCAGGCGUGAAAGUCCUGGGCUCAACCUGGGGAUUGCGCUUGUGACGGGUUGUCUGGAGUGGGGAAGAGGGUCGUGGAAUUCCCAGUGUAGAGGUGAAAUUCGUAGAGAUUGGGAAGAACACCGGUGGCGAAGGCGGCGACCUGGUACUUGACUGACGCUGAGGCGCGAAAGCGUGGGGAGCAAACAGG